GAUGAACGCUGGCGGCGUGCCUAAUACAUGCAAGUCGAGCGAACGGACGAGAAGCUUGCUUCUCUGAUGUUAGCGGCGGACGGGUGAGUAACACGUGGAUAACCUACCUAUAAGACUGGGAUAACUUCGGGAAACCGGAGCUAAUACCGGAUGAUAUUUUGAACCGCAUGGUUCAAAAGUGAAAGACGGUCUUGCUGUCACUUAUAGAUGGAUCCGCGCUGCAUUAGCUAGUUGGUAAGGUAACGGCUUACCAAGGCAACGAUGCAUAGCCGACCUGAGAGGGUGAUCGGCCACACUGGAACUGAGACACGGUCCAGACUCCUACGGGAGGCAGCAGUAGGGAAUCUUCCGCAAUGGGCGAAAGCCUGACGGAGCAACGCCGCGUGGGUGAUGAAGGUCUUCGGAUCGUAAAACUCUGUUAUUAGGGAAGAACAUAUGUGUAAGUAACUGUGCACAUCUUGACAGUACCUAAUCAGAAAGCCACGGCUAACUACGUG
RNAcentral lists this ribosomal RNA (497 nucleotides) under uncultured bacterium. RNAcentral's name for it is "partial 16S ribosomal RNA". It matches the Rfam family "Bacterial small subunit ribosomal RNA", at positions 28 to 507 of the family's 1533-position model. The record is from RNAcentral.